UGCCGGUUCAUCAGCACGUUCGUUGUUU
This 28-nucleotide small RNA is filed under the name Bombyx mori (domestic silkworm). Its description in RNAcentral is "piRNA piR-bmo-1879026". The record is from RNAcentral. Lineage: Eukaryota; Metazoa; Arthropoda; Insecta; Lepidoptera; Bombycidae.